This 378-nucleotide ribosomal RNA is filed under the name uncultured eukaryote. RNAcentral describes it as "partial 18S ribosomal RNA". It matches the Rfam family "Eukaryotic small subunit ribosomal RNA", at positions 592 to 976 of the family's 1831-position model. The record is from RNAcentral.
CAAUAGCGUAUACUUAAGUUGUUGCAGUUAAAAAGCUCGUAGUUGGAUUUCGGGUGGGACGCAGCGGUCUCGCAUUGCGUUUGUACUGCUGCAGCCCUCCUUCUUGCCGGGGGCGGCCUCUCGGACUUCACUGUCUGGGGGUCAGAAUCGGCGAUGUUACUUUGAGUAAAUUAGAGUGUUCAAAGCAAGCUUACGCUCUGAAUAUAAUAGCAUGGGAUAACACGACAGGACUCUGGCCUAUCGUGUUGGUCUAUAGGACCAGAGUAAUGAUUAAGAGGGACAGUCGGGGGCAUUCGUAUUCCGUUGUCAGAGGUGAAAUUCUUGGAUUUACGGAAGACGAACAUCUGCGAAAGCAUUUGCCAAGGAUGUUUUCAUUGA